Molecule: ribosomal RNA, 271 nt
Filed under: uncultured bacterium
Lineage: Bacteria
Description: partial 16S ribosomal RNA
Rfam family: Bacterial small subunit ribosomal RNA
Source: RNAcentral
UACGGAGGGGGCCAGCGUUGUUCGGAAUUAUUGGGCGUAAAGGGCGCGUAGGCGGCGGGGUAAGUCGGACGUGAAAUCCCUCGGCUCAACCGAGGAAUUGCAUCCGAAACUGCUCCGCUUGAGGCCGGGAGAGGAGGGUGGAAUUCCCAGUGUAGCGGUGAAAUGCGUAGAUAUUGGGAGGAACACCGGUGGCGAGGGCGGCUCUCUGGACCGGUUCUGACGCUGAGGCGCGAAAGCUAGGGGAGCAAACAGGAUUAGAUACCCGGGUAGU